GGCUUAUCUCGCGGGUCUAUUGGGCGCGCGGAUGCGGACACAGCUGCAGGAGAUCUCAUAGUAAUGGUUUAUGGAGGAGGUGGCAGUGCCAGGAGCAGUGGCACGGUGAAGAAGCAGGACACAUACCCGCUCACACGCCAUCAAGCUCAGCUACUUCUGUUCGUUUCUCCUGCCAGCAGGCGGCUGGAGCUCCAGUGCAACGUCCAGCUCUUCAAUGCAAUCUGCGCUCUUGCUCAGGAUGAUCUUGUAGUGGUCAAACACAAGAAGGACUUUCAGCCAUGCCUCGUCAAAAAUCUGAUUCAAUUAGGCAAGAAAGACAAACCAGGAGUCUUGCAGAUGCUGGGAUUUGAGCUGGACUUCGUGGACACUGAGCAUGAUAUUUUGUCGAAGAAGACUGCCCCUCUUCCCUUCUUCAGCGCAGCUGACAUUGUCCAGGUGGCUCCAUCACAUUUAAACACCAGGCAACCGCUGAGAGACAGUGGGGAUUUGGGUUUGAAAAGGAAAGCGGUGUGUCGCAUCAAUUCCAUGCCAGCUCUCAACUCACGCAAUGCAAAAAAGCAAAGUAUCUUAUUAAACACGGAUGUGUCCAGCUCCAUUCAGGCCUUGUCCCAUUAUUCUUUGGAGGUGGGGUCUAUGGCAGAGGUCAUAUCUUUGAAUGGACUGACCGUGUAUGGGGUGAUCAGAUGGAUUGGAGUUCCAGAGGGAAAGAAAAAUUGCUGGGCAGGACUUGAGCUGGUGAGCAGCAACAUUUCUUUCUCUCAGUACAAAGCAUGUGCUGAUUAUGUGGUGUUUUGUGC
RNAcentral lists this long non-coding RNA (797 nucleotides) under Sinocyclocheilus anshuiensis. RNAcentral's name for it is "lncRNA (ENSSANG00000027475.1)". Lineage: Eukaryota; Metazoa; Chordata; Actinopteri; Cypriniformes; Cyprinidae. The record is from RNAcentral.